UACGUAGGGCGCAAGCGUUAUCCGGAAUUAUUGGGCGUAAAGAGCUCGUAGGCGGUUUGUCGCGUCUGCCGUGAAAGUCCGAGGCUCAACCUCGGAUCUGCGGUGGGUACGGGCAGACUAGAGUGAUGUAGGGGAGACUGGAAUUCCUGGUGUAGCGGUGAAAUGCGCAGAUAUCAGGAGGAACACCGAUGGCGAAGGCAGGUCUCUGGGCAUUAACUGACGCUGAGGGGCGAAAGCAUGGGGAGCGAACAGG
This 253-nucleotide ribosomal RNA is filed under the name uncultured bacterium. RNAcentral describes it as "partial 16S ribosomal RNA". It matches the Rfam family "Bacterial small subunit ribosomal RNA", at positions 524 to 776 of the family's 1533-position model. The record is from RNAcentral.